Molecule: ribosomal RNA, 1372 nt
Filed under: uncultured bacterium
Lineage: Bacteria
Description: bacterial SSU rRNA
Rfam family: Bacterial small subunit ribosomal RNA
Source: RNAcentral
GAUGAACGCUGGCGGCGUGCCUAAUACAUGCAAGUCGAGCGAACGGACGAGAAGCUUGCUUCUCUGAUGUUAGCGGCGGACGGGUGAGUAACACGUGGAUAACCCACCUAUAAGACUGGGAUAACUUCGGGAAACCGGAGCUAAUACCGGAUAAUAUUUUGAACCGCAUGGUUCAAAAGUGAAAGACGGUCUUGCUGUCACUUAUAGAUGGAUCCGCGCUGCAUUAGCUAGUUGGUAAGGUAACGGCUUACCAAGGCAACGAUGCAUAGCCGACCUGAGAGGGUGAUCGGCCACACUGGAACUGAGACACGGUCCAGACUCCUACGGGAGGCAGCAGUAGGGAAUCUUCCGCAAUGGGCGAAAGCCUGACGGAGCAACGCCGCGUGAGUGAUGAAGGUCUUCGGAUCGUAAAACUCUGUUAUUAGGGAAGAACAUAUGUGUAAGUAACUGUGCACAUCUUGACGGUACCUAAUCAGAAAGCCACGGCUAACUACGUGCCAGCAGCCGCGGUAAUACGUAGGUGGCAAGCGUUAUCCGGAAUUAUUGGGCGUAAAGCGCGCGUAGGCGGUUUUUUAAGUCUGAUGUGAAAGCCCACGGCUCAACCGUGGAGGGUCAUUGGAAACUGGAAAACUUGAGUGCAGAAGAGGAAAGUGGAAUUCCAUGUGUAGCGGUGAAAUGCGCAGAGAUAUGGAGGAACACCAGUGGCGAAGGCGACUUUCUGGUCUGUAACUGACGCUGAUGUGCGAAAGCGUGGGGAUCAAACAGGAUUAGAUACCCUGGUAGUCCACGCCGUAAACGAUGAGUGCUAAGUGUUAGGGGGUUUCCGCCCCUUAGUGCUGCAGCUAACGCAUUAAGCACUCCGCCUGGGGAGUACGACCGCAAGGUUGAAACUCAAAGGAAUUGACGGGGACCCGCACAAGCGGUGGAGCAUGUGGUUUAAUUCGAAGCAACGCGAAGAACCUUACCAAAUCUUGACAUCCUUUGACAACUCUAGAGAUAGAGCUUUCCCCUUCGGGGGACAAAGUGACAGGUGGUGCAUGGUUGUCGUCAGCUCGUGUCGUGAGAUGUUGGGUUAAGUCCCGCAACGAGCGCAACCCUUAAGCUUAGUUGCCAUCAUUAAGUUGGGCACUCUAAGUUGACUGCCGGUGACAAACCGGAGGAAGGUGGGGAUGACGUCAAAUCAUCAUGCCCCUUAUGAUUUGGGCUACACACGUGCUACAAUGGACAAUACAAAGGGCAGCGAAACCGCGAGGUCAAGCAAAUCCCAUAAAGUUGUUCUCAGUUCGGAUUGUAGUCUGCAACUCGACUACAUGAAGCUGGAAUCGCUAGUAAUCGUAGAUCAGCAUGCUACGGUGAAUACGUUCCCGGGUCU